RNAcentral lists this ribosomal RNA (444 nucleotides) under Triticum aestivum (bread wheat). Its description in RNAcentral is "partial small subunit ribosomal RNA". Lineage: Eukaryota; Viridiplantae; Streptophyta; Magnoliopsida; Poales; Poaceae. The record is from RNAcentral.
AUGAUUAUUUCUCUGCUAGGGAGGCGGUCUGAUAUAAUCACCACCAAAUUCCCUUUCCUUCCAGAAAUUGUAGCUCAGAUUCUAUGUGUCAUGGUCUCAGAAGGUGUGAUCGACAAAGAGAAGUUUGAUUCUUUUUAUGGGCUAAUGCAUGAACCUUCGCUCGAAGAGCUGAGAGAGAUCAUCCAAGAGGAGGGUUCCUUUUCAAUCAGGGAGAUGCGGGAGCAUGACCCUAGAACCGAUAUAAACAAGACUCUCAGCACCCCAGGCAUAUUCGUGGGAUUUCUGAGAUCUUUGUUUGAGCCGGUAAUAGUCCAACAUUUUGGAUAUGUCAUGGAUGAAUUCGUGAGGACCGUGGAGCGGCGGUAUAUCCUAGAGGGAAGCUUGCAAGAGGAGUGUGCCAAGUGCCCUUAUGCUAUGCUGGUCAUAUCCCUCGCAAAGGCAUGA